AUAUAUAUUUAAAAGAAUAUUAAAAAUAAGAAUAUUAAAAAAAUAACAAAGAAAAUUUUAAAAGUACUAAAGAAUGAAAUCUAAGCAAACUCUAAAUAUAUCUUGAUUAAAUCCUAAUCAAACCUUAAUGUAGUCCUAAAAAAAUCCUAAUAAAAUUCUAAUUAGAUCCUAACCAAAUCCUAACUAAAUCCUAAUCAAAUUUAAGAAAAUUUUAAAUAAAUUCUAAUUAAUUUCUAUAGCCAUUUUAAAAUUUCAAUAAAUAUUAAUUAAACUAUUGAUGUCAAUUAAAAUUUUACCUAUAUUUCAAUCCACAAGCAAAUAAAAAGUAUACAAAUUUGAGAAAAAACAAACUAACAAAUUGAAAAAAUAAUUCCUAAAACUCUUGGAUACUUGCUGCCAUCCUUCUCCAACUUGAAUUUUUAUCUCUUAGUAGCAAUUUUUCCUUGUUGAACUAUUUAAUUACUCUAUAAAUUGAUUGAUGUAUAUGUAAAUAAGUCUAAAUUUAUCUCACCAAUUUUUGCUUUAAUCAAACUAGUAGAUUUUUUAAGAUUACAAGAAUCCUUGUUAAUACUAAAUUUCAUAUAUUCAAGACUCUAACCUAAUAAAACUCUUAUAUCUUUUAAUCUAACUAUUUGAUUGACAUCAUAUUUGUGAAAAAUAUUUAUAACAAACACAAUGAAAAAUUCACAAAAUUUCACCCAUAAAUUUACUAUGCUAUUUACACAAUCUUCAAAUUUGUAAUCCCCUUUU
Molecule: long non-coding RNA, 750 nt
Filed under: Physcomitrium patens
Lineage: Eukaryota; Viridiplantae; Streptophyta; Bryopsida; Funariales; Funariaceae
Description: long non-coding RNA (PPAT_LNC004972)
Source: RNAcentral